GCUACGGGUGGCAGCAGUGAGGAAUAUUGGUCAAUGGGCGCGAGCCUGAACCAGCCAAGUAGCGUGAAGGAUGACUGCCCUACGGGUUGUAAACUUCGUUUAUAAAGGAAUAAAGUGAGGCACGUGUGCCUUUAUGUAUGUACUUUAUGAAUAAGGAUCGGCUAACUCCGUGCCAGCAGCCGCGGUAAUACGGAGGAUCCGAGCGUUAUCCGGAUGUAUUGGGUUUAAAGGGAGAGUAGAUGGGUUGUUAAGUCAGUUGUGAAAGUUUGCGGCUCAACCGUAAAAUUGCAAUUGAUACUGGCAGUCUUGAGUACAGUUGAGGUAGGCGGAAUUCGUGGUGUAGCAGUGAAAUGCUUAGAUAUCACGAAGAACUCCGAUUGCGAAGGCAGCUUACUAAACUGCCACUGACAUUGAUGCUCGAAAGUGUGGGUAUCAAACAGGAUUAGAUACCCUUGUAGUC
RNAcentral lists this ribosomal RNA (460 nucleotides) under uncultured bacterium. RNAcentral's name for it is "partial 16S ribosomal RNA". It matches the Rfam family "Bacterial small subunit ribosomal RNA", at positions 338 to 795 of the family's 1533-position model. The record is from RNAcentral.